AGAGUUUGAUCCUGGCUCAGGACGAACGCUGGCGGCGUGCCUAACACAUGCAAGUUGAGCGACGAACCAGGGCUUGCCCUGGGGCAAAGCAGCGAACGGGUGAGUAACACGUGGGUAACCUGCCCCGAUGACCGGGACAACCCGAGGAAACUCGGGCUAAUACCGGAUGUGCUCCACACACAUCAGUGUGUGGAGUAAAGGAAGCUUCGGCCUCCGCUUCGGGAGGGGCCCGCGGCCCAUUAGCUAGUUGGUGAGGUAACGGCUCACCAAGGCAACGAUGGGUAGCUGGUCUGAGAGGACGAUCAGCCACACUGGGACUGAGACACGGCCCAGACUCCUACGGGAGGCAGCAGUGGGGAAUCUUGCGCAAUGCGCGAAAGCGUGACGCAGCAACGCCGCGUGGGGGAAGAAGGCCUUCGGGUUGUAAACCCCUUUCAGGAGGGACGAAGGUGCGGCGGCGAAUAGCCGUCCGUAUUGACGGUACCUCCAGAAGAAGCCCCGGCUAACUACGUG
This 513-nucleotide ribosomal RNA is filed under the name uncultured Actinomycetes bacterium. Its description in RNAcentral is "bacterial SSU rRNA". It matches the Rfam family "Bacterial small subunit ribosomal RNA", at positions 8 to 507 of the family's 1533-position model. The record is from RNAcentral. Lineage: Bacteria; Bacillati; Actinomycetota; Actinomycetes.